This 232-nucleotide ribosomal RNA is filed under the name uncultured bacterium. RNAcentral's name for it is "partial 16S ribosomal RNA". It matches the Rfam family "Bacterial small subunit ribosomal RNA", at positions 99 to 334 of the family's 1533-position model. The record is from RNAcentral.
CGGACGGGUGAGUAAUGUCUGGGAAACUGCCCGAUGGAGGGGGAUAACUACUGGAAACGGUAGCUAAUACCGCAUAACGUCGCAAGACCAAAGAGGGGGACCUUCGGGCCUCGCGCCAUCAGAUGAACCCAUAUGGGAUUAGCUUGUAGGUAAGGUAACGGCUUACCUAGGCGACGAUCCCUAGCUGGUCUGAGAGGAUGAUCAGCCACACUGGGACUGAGACACGGCCCAG